GUCAGCUCAGAACUGGUACGG
RNAcentral lists this small nuclear RNA (21 nucleotides) under Arabidopsis thaliana (thale cress). Its description in RNAcentral is "snRNA_07419". Lineage: Eukaryota; Viridiplantae; Streptophyta; Magnoliopsida; Brassicales; Brassicaceae. The record is from RNAcentral.